AUACGUAGGGUGCAAGCGUUAAUCGGAAUUACUGGGCGUAAAGCGUGCGCAGGCGGUUUUGUAAGACAGAGGUGAAAUCCCCGGGCUCAACCUGGGAACUGCCUUUGGGACUGCAAGGCUAGAGUACGGCAGAGGGGGGUGGAAUUCCGCGUGUAGCAGGGAAAUGCGUAGAUAUGCGGAGGAACACCGAUGGCGAAGGCAAUCCCCUGGGCCUGUACUGACGCUCAUGCACGAAAGCGUGAGGAGCAAACAGGAUUAGAUACCCUGGUAGUCCACGCCCUAAACGAUGUCAACUGGUUGUUGGGUCUUCAUUGACUCAGUAACGAAGCUAACGCGUGAAGUUGACCGCCUGGGGAGUACGGCCGCAAGGUUGAAACUCAAAUGAAUUGACGGGG
Molecule: ribosomal RNA, 395 nt
Filed under: uncultured bacterium
Lineage: Bacteria
Description: partial 16S ribosomal RNA
Rfam family: Bacterial small subunit ribosomal RNA
Source: RNAcentral